GCGGUUGUGGCGGAAUUGGCAGACGCGCAAGACUAAGGAUCUUGUGGGCGACCGUGCAGGUUCAACUCCUGUCAACCGCACCA
This 83-nucleotide transfer RNA is filed under the name Bacillota bacterium. Its description in RNAcentral is "Firmicutes bacterium (gut metagenome) tRNA-Leu". It matches the Rfam family "tRNA". From Rfam's summary of the family: Transfer RNA (tRNA) molecules are approximately 80 nucleotides in length. Their secondary structure includes four short double-helical elements and three loops (D, anti-codon, and T loops). Lineage: Bacteria; Bacillati; Bacillota. The record is from RNAcentral. RNAcentral also lists the same sequence under 1 other name.